CGAUCUCUCCUCGCCUAAUGUGAUCCCGGAUGAAGUGAUACCGAAUCUCAAUAUGCUUCAUCUUGAAGUGUUGCACCGGGUUGAGAGAGAUCUUGAUGGCACUUUCAUUGUCACACCAAAGAGGCACUUUGUCACAAAUGACACCGUAGUCCUUUAAAGUUUGCCUCAUCCAUAAGAGUUGUGCACAACAACUACCGGCCGCUACAUACUCCGCUUCGGUGGACGAUAGAGACACACAACUUUGCUUUUUAGAAGACCAACUUACCAAAGAGCAACCAAGGAAUUGGCACCCUCCGGAAGUGGACUUCCUAUCCACUUUGUCUCCUGCCCAAUCGGAAUCCGAAUACCCUACAAGCUUGAAGUUUUCUCCCCUUGGGUACCAUAAGCCAAAGUUUGGGGUAUGAGCCAAAUAUCGAAAGAUUCGUUUGACCGCCACAUAGUGACUUUCCUUAGGUGCGGCUUGAAACCAUGCACAAAUUCCCACACUCAACAUGAUAUCCGGUCUAGAUGCACAAAGGUAAAGCAAGGAUCCAAUCAUGGAGCGAUAUACCUUUUGAUCCACCGCUUUACCAUUGGGAUCUAUGUCAAGUUGGCACUUGGUGGGCAUUGGAGUGGAAGCCGGCUUGACGUCACUUAUCUUGAAUCUCUUGAGCAUGUCUUGAGUGUAUUUGGCUUGGUUGAUGAAGGUUCUUUCUCUUCUUUGCUUCACUUCGAACCCUAGAAAGAACUUCAAAUCUCCGAUGGAAGAUAUCUCGAACUUUGAGGUCAUGAGAGCGGCAAAUUCCUCAUUGAAAGCUUUGUUAGGGGAACCAAAGAUAAUAUCAUCAACAUAUAAUUGGCACACAAACAACUCCACUUUGACCUUCUUAGUAAAAAGAGUGGGGUCGAUUAGCCCAACUUCAAAACCACGGUCUUGUAACAACUCGGUAAGGUGGUCAUAUCACGCACGUGGGGCUUGUUUAAGGCCAUAGAGUGCCUUAUUGAGUUGAUACACAUGAUCGGGAAAGUAGGGAUCCUCGAACCCGGGGGGUUGCUUGACAUAAAUCAAUUCAUUAAUAGGACCAUUAAGAAAAGCACUCUUCACAUCCAUUUGUUGUAACUAAAAGUUAUGAUGAGAAGUAUAUGCAAUCAACAUGCGAAUGGAUUCAAGAUGAGCAACGGGAGCAAAGGUUUCACCGUAGUCGAUACCCUCAACUUGGGAGUAGCCUUGUGCUACCAAACGAGCCUUGUUGCGAAUGAUAAUCCCAUGGGCAUCUUGCUUGUUCUUAAAUAUCAACUUGGUUACAAUGACAUUGUGGUUCCCCGUCGGUCUUGGCACCAAUCUCCACACUUUGUUGCGCUCGAAAUUGUUGGGUUCUUCAUGCAUGGUAUUGAGCCAAUCCGGAUCUUCGAGCGCCUCAUAGACCUUGUGGGGUUCGACACAAGAGACAAACGCGUGAUGCUCACAAUAGUUUGCUAACUGUCUAUGAGUGCUUACCCCCUUUCUUAAGCUUCCAAGCACAUUCGUCAUGAGAUGAUCCUUGGUGGAGAGCUUGGAAGCAACCUUGGCGGCACGACGCUCCAAUUCCUCCUCGGGGGUGAGACGAGAAGUGGUCACUUGAUCAUCUUGAGCGUCGUCUUGAGCUUGUUCUUGUUCUUGAACUUGCUCGGAGGAGAGAACUUGACCUUGGGCAUCAUUUGGUGUGUCAACACCGUCUUGAGCAUGAUCUUGCCCUUGGUCUUCUUCUCGAGGAUGAGGGCCUUCAUGUUGUUCUUCGGAAGCGUGUGGGCCUUGGGUUGGUGAUGGCUCCACUUAAGUGGAGCAUUGUCCUUCUCCUUCGGCCACAAGGGGUUCCUCAAUGGGUAGGAUAAAGACAACACCCAUUCUUCUUAUGGUUUGAGGAGGAAUUUCAUCACCUACAUCACAAGUGCCACUUUGCUCCACUUGGGAGCCGUUAUUUUCAUCAAACUCCAUGUUACAUGUCUCCUCAAUAAGUCCCAUGGAUUUAUUAAGGACACGGUAAGCAUGAGAGUUUGUAGCAUAACCAACAAAUAUGCCCUCAUAAGCUCUAACUUCAAAUUUAGACAACCGAACACCUUUCUUGAGAAUGAAACACUUACACCUGAACACCCGAAAGUACUUGAGGUUGGGCUUGUUACCGGUGAGUAUCUCAUAUGGAGUCUUGUUCAAGCCCUUGUGGAGGUAGAGACGAUUGGAUGCAUGACACGCGGUGUUGAUGGCUUCGGCCCAAAAGUUGUAUGGAGACUUGAACUCCGCCAUCAUGGUCCUUGCCGCAUCCAUCAAUGUCCGGUUCUUCCUCUCCGCAACACCGUUUUGUUGAGGGGUGUAAGGUGCGGAAUAUUGAUGCUUGAUCCCCUCAUCACUAAGAAACUCAUCCAAGGUGUAGUUCUUGAACUCGGUGCCGUUGUCACUUCUUAUUUUCAAGAUCUUUGCAUUGUGUUGGUGGUGUGCUUCAUUUGCAAAGUCAAUGACGGUUUGUUGGGUCUCGCUCUUCCUCUUGAAUAAAUACACCCAAGUGUAUCUUGAGUAGUCAUCCACAAUCACCAAGCAAAACUUCCUACCCCCAAGACUAUCGAAGGAUGGAGGCCCAAAGAGAUCCAAGUGAAGGAGCUCCAAAUGUCUCUUUGAGUAAAUGAUAGUCGUGGGAGGGUGAGUCUUCUCAUGUAGCUUUCCUUCAAUACAAGCACUGCAAGCACGAUCUUUAGCAAAACUAACAUUCGUUAGUCCACGGACAUGGUCCCCCUUGAGAAGACUUUGCAAAUAUUUCAUAUUGACAUGGGCUAGACGGCGAUACCAAAGACACCCCACAUCAACUUUAGCCAUUAGGCAUGUCGCGGUCUUAGUGGGUCGCUCCGAAAAGUUAAUCACAUAUAGACCGUUCUCGACAUGCCCAACAAAGGCUACUUUAAGAGUCUUGCUCCACAAGAGGGCCACGGUAUCGAUAUCAAAGAAAGUGGCAAAGCCCAUGAUUGCAAGUUGACGAACGGAAAGUAAAUUGUAUGCAAGGGACUCAACAAGCAUGACCUUCUCGAUCGUGAGAUCAUGAGAGAUGACUACCUUGCCAAGUCCCAAUACCUUAGAAGACGAGGCGUCACCCCACUCGACAUUGGUGGGCAUAGAUGGAAUCUUGUGCACGUCCACCACCAAGUCCUUGCUUCCGGUCAUAUGAUUUGUAGCUCCGCUAUCGAGCAACCAUGAUCCCCCACCGGAAGCAAACACCUACAAGAUCAAUGCUUGGUUUUAGGUACCCAUUUUGUAAUGGGUCCUUUGAUGUUAGUAACAAGGGUCUUUGGAACCCAAAUAGACCAUUCAAUGUACUCAUGAGGAGAACCAACGAAUUUGGCAUAGACAUGCCCAUCACUAGCACGACAUAAUAUAUAAGAUGGAUUAAAGUCGUCGGCUUUGAUGGAAGGGGUGGCAUUGCCCUUUUUGACACCGCCACCCUUCGCAUUAUUCUUCUUCUCCUUGGAAGCACUCUCUCCCUCCUUCACAAAGGUUUGCAUGAGAGGAGGAGGUCUUUUGGUCUUGUCAUUCUUCUUCUUGUUCUUGGACUCGGGCACGUACCCAACCCCUUCCUUGGUCACCACUCCCUUUUGGUUGGUCAAGAGGUCGUUGAGGUUCUUCUUGCCUUGUAUGCAAGUCGCACGACCUUUCUCAAGUUGCACCUUUAGCUUAGCGUUCUCCUCAACAAGAUGCACAUGCUCACAACACGGGUUAGUAGAAUUUUCAUUAUCAAUUAACAUCAUACGAGGAAAAGUGGCUUUUUCCUUGGUUAGCUUUACUUGAAGUUGGUCAUGAGACUCUUUGAGGCUAGCAUGAGCACCCUUCAAGACCUUGUGAGCCUUGUCAAGUAUAUCAAACUCCUCUUUGAGUCUAGCAAGAUCAACCUCAAGUUCGGCCUUCUCGGAGUUUAGCACACGAGAAACAAUGAGAACAUGAUCAAAAUCUUUCUUUAACUUAGCAUGAUCAACGUUGUGUGACUCCUCAAGAGCCAAAUGAAGACCACGCUCUUCCUCAAGAGCAUUAGAAAGAUCCGAGAUCUCAUCGGCAUAGUCACGACUAUGCCCUUCCGUCUUAGAGAUGGUAUCUUCGUGAGCCUCGAUCAUGUCAUUGGCUUCACCAAGUUGUUCCAAGAGAGCAACAAAGUGCUUAUUGGAUUUACCCUUAAGUUUGCCCAUAAAGGCAUCAAACUCAUUCACUUCCACAUUAGCUCCCUCAUGUUCAUCAAUGCUAUCCGUCGAAGAAGGAUGAUUAAUGAUGGUAGUUUUGAUGUUGGAGGUUACCUUGUUGGUGGCUUUAGCCAUGAGGCACUUGGCGGUGAUGCUCUCAUUGGGUGAGUCUAAGAGAGACACCCGUGGAGUCGUCGCAAUGGCAACUGAGGCCAUGGCAACCGACUCACCAUCUUCAUCAUCAUCAUCAUCCUUAUUGUACUCUUCUUGUACCACCAAUGCCUUGGGAGGAGUCUUCUUGGUGAAGUUGCUCUUGUUGGGGAACGACUUGGCCUUGUCCUUUCGGAUGAGCUUGCCACCAUUGUCUUCCCUCUUCUCAUACGGGCACUCCGCAACAAAAUGACUCACAUUGCCACAAUUGUAGCAAGUCCUUACACGUUGCUUGCUCUUCGUGCCACUUGAGCUGUUUUUGUUAAAGUUUGGCCUUGAGUUUUUCUUGCUCCAAAAUUGCCUUGAAGCAAGUGCCAUGUGUUCAUGAUAUGCAUACUUUGUAUCUUCGGGGUUGCUCUCCUCUUCUUCCUCUUCUUCUUCUUCAACGCAAAGCUUGGCCUUCAAAGCAAGGUUGGGCUUCUUUGCCCUUUGAGAAUGAAGCACCGCAUUGUCGGUGGUCUUGUCCAAAAUGUUCAUGGCCACAAACUCAUCCAACACUUCGCUUGAGGUCAAAGUGUGGAAGUCCGGCCUUUGACGAAUGACGGAGGACAUGGCCUUGUGGUAGGGCAUCAUUGCCUUGAGGAAUUUGCGCUUGAUCCAAUUGUCAUCCAUGUCCUUGCUCCCGUGAUCUCGGAGUGAGACCGCGAGUUUGGUUACUCUCCGAUAAAGCUUACGAGGUUCUUCAUCUUCUUUCAUUGCAAACUCAUCGGCCUCAUCUUGCACCACUUCAUAGUUGGAGCGUUGAAUGCUUGCGCUUCCCCGAUAGAGUGAGACAACACAAAGUCAUGUGUCUUUGGCCAAGGCGAAGGGCCGAAGAUGAGGUAGAUCUUCGGAUGGAAUUGCAUCUUGAAUGAUGAAUAAAGCAUUCUCAUUGAAUUGAUUAUCCAUGGCUUCUCGAGGAGUGAAGUUGCUUGGAUCAUGCGGAUAGAAACCGUCUUCAAUGAUUCUCCAAAGAUUAGUGUUCACAUGAUUUAAAUGACGUUUAAAGCGGUAAACCCAAGAAUCAAAGUCCUCAUUUUUCACAAUCUUAGGGGGAGGACCGGCAUGAUUCAAAUGAGUGGAAGGAACCGGUCCACCAUAAACAAGUGGUGGUUCCACAUGAGCAAAGAUGCCAGUGCCAUUCUUACCACUAGAAGAAGGGGCCUUUUCACUACUAGCUUCCCCUUAUCGGAGGUAGCAUCCGUCACCUUGUCGGUGGGAUUACCCACUUUCAACGGUGCGGUGGAUAGUUUAAGCCCUUCAAGAAAUUUAGUAAACAUGCUUUCAACCUCGGUCGUCAUGGAGGUUUUCAAUGUCUCCAAGGCCACAUUGAACUCCUCACGAGAGACCGAGGUUCCCCCAUCACCCGUAGACGAGAUCGGAUUCACACCGGAGUGUUCCUCCACACCGUUUACGGUAUCAACCAUACUCUUCGAACGAUAAAGUCCUUAAUAAAGAGACGAGGCUCUGAUACCAAUUGAAAGGAUCAAUAUGGUUGACUAGAGGGGGGGGGGUGAAUAGGCAACUAACAAUUUUUAACUUUUCUUUACCAAAUUAAACUUUGCAUCAAAGUAGGUUGUCUAGAUGUGCAACUAGGUGAGCAACCUAUAUGAUGCAAUAACAACAAACAAACAAGCGAGCAAGAGAAGUAACACUAAAGAGCUUGCACAAGUAAAGGUAAGAAAUAACCAAGAGUGGAUCCGGUGAAGACGAGGAUGUGUUACCGAAGUUCCUUCCUUUUGAGGGGAAGUACGUCUCCGUUAGAGCGGUGUGGAGGCACAAUGCUCCCCAAGAAGCCACUAGGGCCACCGUAUUCUCCUCACGCCCUCACACAAUGCGAGAUGCCAUGAUUCCACUAUUGGUGCCCUUGAAGGCGGCGACCGGACCUUUACAAACAAGGUUGGGGCAAUCUCCACAACUUAAUCGAAGGCUCCCAACAAUACCAUGAAGCUUCACCACAAUGGACUGUGGCUCCGUGGUGACCUCAACCGUCUAGGGUGCUCAAACACCCAAGAGUAACAAGAUCCGCUAGGGAUAGGUGGGGGAAUCGAAAAUCUCUUGGUGGAAGUGUAGAUCGGGGCCUUCUCAACCACUCCCGAGCAAAUCAACAAGUUUGAUUGGCUAGAGAGAUAGAUCGGGCAAAAAUGGAGCUUGAAGCAUUAAUGGAGCUUGAGAGGGAAGAGGUAGGUCAAGGGGAAGAAGGGGACCCCCUUUUAUAGUGGGGGCAACAAUCCAACCAUUGCCCCACUAAACAGCCCCGCAGAGGGCGGUAGUACCGCUUGGGGGGCGGUACUAUCGCUGAGCCAGCGGUACUGCCGUUCCAACUAGCGGUACUGUCGCGCAAAGGAGAGAAGCAGGGACCUGGACACAAAGAGGUACUACCGCGGAGGUAGGGGCGGUACUACCGCUGAGAAGCGGUACUACCGUUCCAACUAGCGGUACUGCCGCGCAAAGGAGAGAAGCAGGGACCUGGACCCAGAGCGGUACUACCAUGGUGGUAGGGGCGGUACUACCGCUUAUAAGCGGUACUACCGCCUCUACUGCCGCAACUAGUGCCGCAAAACCCGACACGAGAAAAAGAGCCCUCGAGUCGAGGCGGUAGGAACAUGGCAAGCCAGCGGUAGUACAGCUGCGGAGUCACCGGCGGUACUACCACUGCGGAGUGGUACUGCCGCUUGUGACCCCUCAGCGGUACUACUGCAGGGUAGCACGGUACUACCACUGGGACCCAAACAAGACACAUAAGUAAAGAAAAGAUCUCUCCAUUGAAGCGGAAGAGCUCUGAGGGUGAGAAGCGGAAGUGUACGUGUUGAUUCCACCCAAGUAGUACCACAGCAGACCCCCUCUUAAUAGUACGAUGCCCUCUACACAACUAGACCACCGAAAGAGCUACACUGUCUUGAAUGACACUCCGAGGGGAGGAAAUCGUCUCGUGCUAAGGAUGAAUCUCUAAAACGCUCAAAGCACACGAUUAGUUCGCAAACACGUUGUCAUCAAUCACCAAAACCACAUCGAGAGAGAUAUGCCUCAACAACCACUGUCAAGGGAUCUAAGUGUCAAGUUUGUGUGCAAGCUAAGCAACCUCGUAAGUCUUGCACGACUGCGGAAACGAGAAAUCUUGCACCACUAGAGCUCAUACAUUCAGAUCUAUGUGAAAUGAAUGGUGUUUUGACAAAAGGUGGAAAGAAAUAUUUCACCACAUUAAUUGACGACUCCACUAGAUAUUGCCGUGUGUAUCUUCUGAAAUCUAAGGAUGAGGCUUUGAACUUUUUCAAGAUCUAUAAAGCUGAAGUGGAAAACCAACUUGAUCGAAAAAUCAAAAGGCUUAGGUCCAAUCGUGGUGGAGAGGAUUUUUCCAAUGAAUUUGAUGCUUUUUGUGCGGAAUAUGGUGUAAUCCAUGAGAGAACGCCUCCUUACUUACCUCAGUCAAAUGGGGUGGCCGAAAGAAAGAACCGUACUCUAACUAAUUUGGUUAAAGCCAUGUUAGACACAUCGGGUCUCUCCAAGGCAUGGUGGGGGGAGGCGAUAUUGACAGCAUGUCAUGUCCUAAACCGAGUCCCCACAAAGAACAAAGAGAUAACUCCAUUCGAGGAAUGGGCGAAGAAAAGGUUAAAGCUCUCUUAUCUACGAACCUGGGGUUGUUUGGCGAAAGUCAAUGUGCCAAUUCCAAAGAAGCGCAAAUUUGGACCAAAGACCGUGGAUUGUGUUUUCGUGGGAUAUGCUUUUCAUAGCAUUGGUUAUAGAUUCUUGGUUGUAAAAUCUGAGGUACCCGACAUGCAUGUCGGUACGAUCAUGGAGUCGAAUGAUGCGACUUUCUUUGAAGAUAUCUUUCCCAUGAAGGAUAUGGCUACCUCAUCUAAUCAGGAGAUGCCUAGUUCAUCGAAUCAGGAACCAGUUACAAUUACUGAACCUGCCAUUUCAAUGGAACACUUUGAAAAUCCUGUGGAGGAGAAUAAUGAAGUUCCUACUAAGAGCAAGAGACAGAGGACUGCAAAGUCCUUUGGUGAUGAUUUUCUUGUGUAUCUCAUAGAUAACACUCCCAGUUCUAUUUCAGAGGCCUAUGCAUCUGAAGAUGCUGACUACUGGAAGGAAGCGGUUUGUAGCGGAUGGAUUCCAUCUUGGCGAAUGAAACUUGGGAGAUAACUGAUCGUCCUUAUGGGUGCAAACCUAUAGGAUGCAAAUGGGUAUUCAAGAAAAAGCUUAGUCCUGAUGGUACUAUUGAAAAGUACAAGGCGCGGCUCGUGGCUAAGGGUUAUACCCAAAAGGAAGGUGAAGAUUUUUUUAUACUUACUCACCUGUAGCUCGACUGACCACUAUUCGAGUUCUACUUUCACUAGCUGCCUGACAUGGUCUUCUCGUUCAUCAAAUGGAUGUUAAGACUGCUUUCUAAAUGGAGAGUUGGACGAGGAAAUUUAUAUGGAACAACCAGACGAGUUUGUACUAGAUGGCCAGGAAGGAAAAGUGUGAAAGUUGCUGAAGUCUUUGUAUGGACUCAAGCAAGCACCUAAACAGUGGCAUGAGAAGUUUGAAAGAACUUUAACAGCUGCAGGCUUUGUUGUAAACGAAGCUGACAAAUGUGUGUACUAUCGUCAUGGUGGGGGCGAGGGAGUCAUCCUUUGCUUGUAUGUUGACGACAUACUGAUUUUCAGAACAAAUAUGAAUGUUAUUAAGGAGGUCAAGGACUUUCUAUCUCGCUGUUUUGAGAUGAAAGAUUUAGGAGUGGUUGAUGUCAUUCUAAACAUCAAGUUGUUGAGAGACGAUGAUGAUGGGAUCACAUUGCUUCAAUCUCACUAUAUGGAAAAGAUCUUGAGUCGCUUUGGGUACAGUGACUGCAAGUCCUCUCCAACAUCAUAUGAUGCUAGUGUGUUGCUUCGAAAGAAUCAAAGAAUUGCUAGAGACCAAUUGAAGUAUUCUCAGAUUAUUGGCUCGCUUAUGUACUUAGCCAGUGCUACAAGACCUGACAUCUCUUUUGCUGUUAGCAAACUGAGUCGGGUUUUUUCAAAACCAAGAGAUGUGCAUUGGAAAGCUCUAGAGAGAGUUUUGCGUUAUUUGAAAGGCACUGCGAGUUAUGGAAUUCACUACACUGGGCACCCAAAGGUGCUUGAAGGGUAUAGUGACUCAAACUGGAUCUCAGAUGCUGAUGAGAUAAAGUCCACGAGCGGUUAUGUAUUCACUCAUGGAGGUGGCACUGUUUCUUGGAAGUCUUGCAAGCAGACCAUCUUAACGAGGUCAACAAUGGAAGCAUAACUCACAGCACUAGAUACAGCUACGGUCGAAGCAGAUUGGCUUCGUCGGCUCUUGAAUGACUUUCCGGUUGUUGAGAAACCUGUAGCGGGUAUUCUCAUGAACUGCGACAAUCAAACUAUGAUCACGAAAGUGAGCAGCUCAAAGAAUAACAUGAAGUCAUCAAGACACAUUCAGAGAAGGUUAAAGUCUGUCAGGAAAAUGAAAAACUCCGGAGUUAUUGCAUUGGAUUAUAUCCAAACGGCUAAAAAUCUGGCAGAUCCUUUUACUAAGGUUCUAUCACGUAAUGUGAUAGAUAAUGCAUCGAGGGAGAUGGGUAUGAGACCCACAUAUGAGUUGUUCAUAGUGGUAACCUAUUCUUUGUGAUCGGAGAUCCUAUGAAUUAGAUGUGGAAGACAAGCUGUUGGUCAACUGAGAGGACAGUAUCCUUACUAUUAACAAUACCACUCCUUGAAGAUGCAAUACUCUUCUAAUCUGCAUGGCAGGUUGAUGUAUAUCUUAAUGUGUUUUAAGUGGCUCUUUUAAGCAGAGAUGUUGUCUUGCAGAACAUCUUUUGAAGAACACACCUAUAUGAGUCUGAUUGUUAAAUAUCGCAAUCUAUGAGAGUAGGGUUCUCUCUAGUAAACUCAUGAAAGGUCUCAGAGUAUGACACAUAAGCUCCACCCGCGGGGAAGACCCACGGUAGCUACGUAUCGGUCAAGGCUUUAUGUGAAGCUAGAUUCGCAGAAAACUUGCAGUUCAAGGCCCAGUCCACUGUUCAAGUUGCUUACUAGUGUAGCAUAGAGUUCUAAGUGGAAGUUCAACUUAACACUCUCCACUGCAAUAUCGGUAUAUAAAAAAGUGUUUUGAAACCAAAGGCAAAUUUUGUGUGCCUCUGGGAUCUGGUGGGGGAUUGCUGGAAUUUUGUCUAUUUUGGGCCUAGCCAACAGCAGUUUCAGAAAUUCCUAAUAAAUCCUAGAGGCCCAUGCAGCCCAUUCGUGCAAGGCAAGAGGUGGAACAAAGUUUAGUCCCACAUUGCUAGUUUAGAGGGUGUUGUACCUCUUUAUAAGGGAGGCUUUUUCUCCACAUGUAUGAGGAUGAGAACAAGAGGGACAUUCACGCGCGCUCCUCCUCCGCCGCGCGCCUCGCCACGCCACGCCUCGCCUCGCCUCGCCUUCUCCUGUGCCUAUAAAAGGGAGGUCGCUCCUCCCAGAGAGACACACCAGAACGACACAACCCUCUCGCCUCCGGAACCACACCUUUUGAGUCCUGUACGGGAGAAGGGUGAUAAGGUUUUUGGGGAGUGCUCCGCGCGACUACUGGCUUCUUCAUCACGGACUCCGACGACUUCUUCCCCGACGUCGACAACCUCAUCAACAACAUGGCUGGAGAGGAUGUCGACCCCAAGUCCAGUGCUUCUGCUGCUGUUGUGUCGUAUGUGUUCUUGCUCUUUCUGUUAGAUGUCCUGCCACAGUUCUUUGCUCUAGUUUCUGCCCUACAUAUGUUAGGUUCUACUUCAUAUAUGCAACUUCAUCUAGUGUCUGUUCUACAUGUGUUUAGUUCAAGUUCAUAUAUGCAGAUACUAUUUACGUUCUCUCUAUCAGAUUACAUGACUUGCUUUAUCUCUGCUAUAUUAGUCAUGCUUUAUCUAUUAUUUCUGUUAGCAAAGUUAUUUGGUAAAUUGAUCAUAUUUCCAACAUUUAGUGCGCUGGGACCAACAUUGCUUUAGCAAACGCCCAAAGACGCGCGCCCAAAAAGCAGACAGUGCAAAUUGUGAAGCGCGCGUAAUUCGAAACUCAAAAUAUGCUGUGCGCGAUAGCGUUUUUCAGCGCGCGCCCAAAACUUUUUAGCGCUACAGCAUCUGCUAGAGCUGUUGGGCGCCCAAAAAAACUAUUUUUUAAUGCGUGGAGCUCUUUUUGGGCGCCUGUUGGAGAUGCUCUAAAAGAAAACCGAGUUAUACUAGACACAAUAAGCUAUACCUUAUUACAUUUUUGCAAUAGAAUAAAUUUUUUUUAGAACAUAGACGUCAGAGACGUCCGGCUUUAAAUUAAUAAAGCCCCCAAACUUAGGCAGAGUAGCACAACCACCGACCGAAACUGUUGGGUUACGUAGUAAUUUCAAAAAAUUUCCUACGCACACGCAAGAUCAUGUGAUGCAUAGCAACGAGGGGAGAGUAUUGUCUACGUACCCAACGCAGACCGACUGCGGAAGCGAUGACACGACGUAGAGGAAGUAGUCGUACGUCUUCUCGAUCCAACCGAUCAAGCACCGAAACUACGGUACCUCCGAGUUCGAGCACACGUUCAACUCGAUGACGAUCCCCGGACUCCGAUCCAGCAAAGUGUCGGGGAAGAGUUUCGUCAGCACGACGGCGUGGUGACGAUCUUGAUGAACUACAGCAGCAGGGCUUCGCCUAAACUCCGCUACAGUAUUAUCGAGGAAUAUGGUGGCAGGGGGCACCGCACACGGCUAAGGAAUUGAUCACGUGGAUCAACUUGUGUCAACUUGUGUGUUUAGAGGUGCCCCUGCCUCCGUAUAUAAAGGAGGAGAGGAGGGGAGGCUGGCCGGCCAAGGGGGGGAGGCGCAGGAGAGUCCUACUCCCUCUGGGAGUAGGAUUCCCCCUCCAAUCCUAGCCCAACUAGGAUUCCUCGGAGGGGAAAAGAGGAGGAGGGGGCCGGCCACCUCUCCUAGUCCUAAUAGGACUAGGGAAAGGGGGGGGGGUGCGCAGCCCAACUAGGGCAGCCCCUUCUCUUUUCCACUAAGGCCUACUAUGGCCCAAAUAGCUCCCGGGGGGUUCCGGUAACCCUCCCGGUAUUCCGGUAAAAUCCCGAUUUCACCCGGAACACUUCCGAUAUCCAAAUAUAGGCUUCCAAUAUAUCAAUCUUUACGUCUCGACCAUUUCGAGACUCCUCGUCAUGUCCGUGAUCACAUCCGGGACUCCGAACAACCUUCGGUACAUCAAAAUGCAUAAACUCAUAAUAUAACUGUCAUCGUAACCUUAAGCGUGCGGACCCUACGGGUUCGAGAACAAUGUAGACAUGACCGAGACACGUCUCCGGUCAAUAACCAAUAGCGGGACCUGGAUGCCCAUAUUGGCUCCUACAUAUUCUACGAAGAUCUUUAUCGGUCAGACCGCAUAACAACAUACGUUGUUCCCUUUGUCAUCGGUAUGUUACUUGCCCGAGAUUCGAUCGUCGGUAUCCAAUACCUAGUUCAAUCUCGUUACUGGCAAGUCUCUUUACUCGUUCCGUAAUACAUCAUUUCAGAACUAACAUAUUAGUUGUAAUGCUUGCAAGGCUUAUGUGAUGUGUAUUACCGAGAGGGCCCAGAGAUACCUCUCCGACAAUCGGAGUGACAAAUCCUAAUCUCGAAAUACGCCAACCCAACAUCGACCAUUGGAGACACCUGUAGUACUCCUUUAUAAUCACCCAGUUACGUUGUGACGUUUGGUAGUACCCAAAGUGUUCCUCCGGUAAACGGGAGUUGCAUAAUCUCAUAGUCAUAGGAACAUGUAUAAGUCAUGAAGAAAGCAAUAGCAACAUACUAAACGAUCGGGUGCUAAGCUAAUGGAAUGGGUCAUGUCAAUCAGAUCAUUCUACUAAUGAUGUGACCUUGUUAAUCAAAUAACAACUCAUUGUUCAUGGUUAGGAAACAUAACCAUCUUUGAUUAACGAGCUAGUCAAGUAGAGGCAUACUAGUGACACUUUGUUUGUCUAUGUAUUCACACAUGUAUUAUGUUUCCGGUAAAUACAAUUCUAGCAUGAAUAAUAAACAUUUAUCAUGAUUAUAAGGAAAUAAAUAAUAACUUUAUUAUUGCCUCUAGGGCAUAUUUCCUUCAGUCUCCCACUUGCACUAGAGUCAAUAAUCUAGAUUACACUGUAAUGAUUCUAACACCCAUGGAGCUUUGGUGCUGAUCAUGUUUUGCUCGUGGAAGAGGCUUAGUCAAUGGGUCUGCAACAUUCAGAUCCGUAUGUAUCUUGCAAAUCUCUAUGUCUCCCACCUGGACUAGAUCCCGGAUGGAGUUGAAGUGUCUCUUGAUGUGUUUGGUCCUUUUGUGAAAUCUGGAUUCCUUUGCCAAGGCAAUUGCACCAUUAUUGUCACAAAAGUUUUUCAUUGGACCCGAUGCACUAGGUAUGACACCUAGAUCGGAUAUGAACUCCUUCAUCCAGACUCCUUCAUUUGCUGCUUCCGAAGCAGCUAUGUAUUCCGCUUCACAUGUAGAUCCCGCUACGACGCUUUGUUUAGAACUGCACCAACUGACAGCUCCACCGUUUAAUGUAAACACGUAUCCAGUUUGCGAUUUAGAAUCGUCCGGAUCAGUGUCAAAGCUUGCAUCAACGUAACCUUUUACGAUGAGCUCUUUGUCACCUCCAUAUACGAGAAACAUAUCCUUAGUCCUUUUCAGGUAUUUCAGGAUGUUCUUGACCGCUGUCCAGUGAUCCACUCCUGGAUUACUUUGGUACCUCCCUGCUAAACUUAUAGCAAGGCACACAUCAGGUCUGGUACACAGCAUUGCAUACAUGAUAGAGCCUAUGGCUGAUGCAUAGGGAACAUCUUUCAUAUUCUCUCUAUCUACUGCAGUGGUCGGGCAUUGAGUCUUACUCAAUUUCACACCUUGUAACACAGGCAAGAACCCUUUCUUUGCUUGAUCCAUUUUGAACUUCUUCAAAAUUUUGUCAAGGUAUGUGCUUUGUGAAAGUCCAAUUAAGCGUUUUGAUCUAUCUCUAUAGAUCUUAAUGCCUAAUAUGUAAGCAGCUUNNNNNNNNNNUUUCAUUGAAAAACUUUUAUUCAAGUAUCCCUUUAUGCUAUCCAGAAAUUCUAUAUCAUUUCCAAUCAGUAAUAUGUCAUCCACAUAUAAUAUCAGAAAUGCUACAGAGCUCCCACUCACUUUCUUGUAAAUACAGGCUUCUCCGAAAGUCUGUAUAAAACCAAAUGCUUUGAUCACACUAUCAAAACGUUUAUUCCAACUCCGAGAGGCUUGCACCAGUCCAUAAAUGGAUCGCUGGAGCUUGCACACUUUGUUAGCUCCCUUUGGAUCGACAAAACCUUCUGGUUGCAUCAUAUACAACUCUUCUUCCAGAAAUCCAUUCAGGAAUGCAGUUUUGACGUCCAUUUGCCAAAUUUCAUAAUCAUAAAAUGCGGCAAUUGCUAACAUGAUUCGGACGGACUUAAGCAUCGCUACGGGUGAGAAGGUCUCAUCGUAGUCAAUUCCUUGAACUUGCCGAAAACCUUUUUGCGACAAGUCGAGCUUUGUAGACAGUAACAUUACCAUCAGCGUCAGUCUUCUUCUUAAAGAUCCUUUAUUCUCAAUUGCUUGCCGAUCAUCGGGCAAGUCAACCAAAGUCCAUACUUUGUUCUCAUACAUGGAUCCCAUCUCAGAUUUCAUGGCUUCAAGCCACUUUGCGGAAUCUGGGCUCACCAUCGCUUCUUCAUAGUUCGUAGGUUCAUCAUGAUCUAGUAGCAUGACCUCCAGAACAGGAUUACCGUACCACUCUGGUGCGGAUCUUACUCUGGUUGAUCUACGAGGUUCAGCAGUAUCUUGAUCUGAAGUUUCAUGAUCAUUAUCAUUGGCUUCCUCACUAACUGGUGUAGGUAUCACUGAAACAGUUUUCUGUGAUGAACUACUUUCCAGUAAGGGAGCAGGUACAGUUACCUCGUCAAGUUCUACUUUCCUCCCACUCACUUCUUUCGAGAGAAACUCCUUCUCUAGAAAUGAUCCAUUCUUAGCAACGAAUGUCUUGCCUUCGGAUCUGUGAUAGAAGGUGUACCCAACAGUUUACUUUGGGUAUCCUAUGAAGACACAUUUCUCCGAUUUGGGUUCGAGCUUAUCAGGUUGAAGCUUUUUCACAUAAGCAUCGCAGCCCCAAACUUUAAGAAACGACAACUUUGGUUUCUUGCCAAACCACAGUUCAUAAGGCGUCGUCUCAACGGAUUUUGAUGGUGCCCUAUUUAACGUGAAUGCGGCCGUCUCUAAAGCAUAUCCCCAAAAAGAUAGCGGUAAAUCAGUAAGAGACAUCAUAGAUCGCACCAUAUCUAGUAAAGUACGAUUACGACGUUCAGACACACCAUUACGUUGUGGUGUUCCGGGUGGCGUGAGUUGCGAAACUAUUCCACAGUUUUUCAAAUGUAUACCAAACUCGUAACUCAAAUAUUCUCCUCCACGAUCAGAUCGUAGAAACUUUAUUUCUUGUUACGAUGAUUUUCAACUUCACUCUGAAAUUCUUUGAACUUUUCAAAUGUUUCAGACUUAUGUUUCAUUAAGUAGAUAUACCCAUAUCUGCUUAAAUCAUCUGUGAAGGUGAGAAAAUAACGAUAUCCGCCACGAGCCUCAAUAUUCAUCGGGCCACAUACAUCGGUAUGUAUGAUUUCCAACAAAUCUGUUGCUCUCUCCAUAGUACCGGAGAACGGCGUUUUAGUCAUCUUGCCCAUAAGGCACGGUUCGCAAGUACCAAGUGAUUCAUAAUCAAGUGGUUCCAAAAGUCCAUCAGCAUGGAGUUUCUUCAUGCGCUUUAUACCGAUAUGACCUAAACAACAGUGCCACAAAUAAGUUGCACUUUCGUUAUCAACUCUGCAUCUUUUGGCUUCAACAUUAUGAAUAUGUGUAUUACUACUAUCGAGAUUCAAUAAGAAUAGACCACUUUUCAAGGGUGCAUGACCAUAAAAGAUAUUACUCAUAUAAAUAGAACAACCAUUAUUCUCUGAUUUAAAUGAAUAACCGUCUCGCAUUAAACAAGAUCCAGAUAUAAUGUUCAUGCUCAACGCUGGCACCAAAUAACAAUUAUUUAGGUCUAAUAUUAAUCCCGAAGGUAGAUGUAGAGGUAGCGUGCCGACUGCGAUCACAUCGAAAUUGGAACCGUUUCCCACACGCAUCGUCACCUCGUCCUUUGCCAGUGCCCGCUUAUUCUUUAGUCCCUGUUUCGAGUUGCAAAUAUUAGCAACAGAACCAGUAUCAAAUACCCAGGUGCUACUGCGAGCUCUAGUAAGGUACACAUCAAUAACAUGUAUAUCACAUAUACCUUUGUUCACCUUGCCAUCCUUCUUAUCCGCCAAAUACUUGGGGCAGUUCCGCUUCCAGUGACCAGUCUGCUUGAAGUAGAAGCACUCAGUUUCAGGCUUAGGUCCAGACUUGGGUUUCUUCUCUUGAGCAGCAACUUGCUUGCCGUUCUUCUUGAAGUUCCCCUUUUUCUUCCCUUUGCCCUUUUUCUUGAAACUAGUGGUCUUGUUAACCAUCAACACUUGAUGCUCCUUCUUGAUUUCUACCUCUGCAGCUUUCAGCAUUGCGAAGAGCUCGGGAAUAGUCUUGUUCAUCCCUUGCAUAUUAUAGUUCAUCACAAAGCUCUUGUAGCUUGGUGGCAGUGAUUGGAGAAUUCUGUCAAUGACGCAAUCAUCCGGAAGAUUAACUCCCAGUUGAAUCAAGUGAUUAUUAUACCCAGACAUUUUGAGUAUAUGCUCACUGACAGAACUGUUCUCCUCCAUCUUGCAGCUAUAGAACUUAUUGGAGACUUCAUAUCUCUCAAUUCGGGCAUUUGCUUGAAAUAUUAACUUCAACUCCUGGAACAUCUCAUAUGCUCCAUGACGUUCAAAACGUCGUUGAAGUCCCGAUUCUAAGCCGUAAAGCAUGGCACACUGAACUAUCGAGUAGUCAUCAGCUUUGCUCUGCCAGUGUUGCUCCAGCAGCAGGCUUGGCACCCAGCGGUGCUUUCAGGACGUAAUUUUUCUGUGCAGCAAUGAGGAUAAUCCUCAAGUUAUGGACCCAGUCUGUGUAAUUGCUACCAUCAUCUUUCAACUUUGCUUUCUCAAGGAACGCAUUAAAAUUCAACGGAACAACAGCACGAGCCAUCUAUCUACAAUCAACAUAAACAAGCAAGAUACUAUCAGGUACUAAGUUCAUGAUAAAUUUAAGUUCAAUUAAUCAUAUUAUUUAAGAACUCCCACUUAGAUAGACAUCCCUCUAAUCCUCUAAGUGAUUACGUGAUCCAAAUCAACUAAACCAUGACCGAUCAUCACGUGAGAUGGAGUAGUUUUCAAUGGUGAACAUCGUUAUGUUGAUCAUAUCUACUAUAUGAUUCACGCUCGACCUUUCGGUCUCCGUGUUCCGAGGCCAUAUCUGCAUAUGCUAGGCUCGUCAAGUUUAACCUGAGUAUUCUGCGUGUGCAAAACUGGCUUGCACCCGUUGUAGAUGGACGUAGAGCUUAUCACACCCGAUCAUCACGUGGUGUCUGGGCACGACGAACUUUGGCAACGGUGCAUACUCAGGGAGAACACUUCUUGAUAAUUUAGUGACAGAUCAUCUUAUAAUGCUACCGUCAAUCAAAGCAAGAUAAGAUGCAUAAAAAGAUAAACAUCACAUGCAAUCAAUAUAAGUGAUAUGAUAUGGUCAUCAUCAUCUUGUGCUUGUGAUCUCCAUCUCCGAAGCACCUUCAUGAUCACCAUCGUCACCGGCGCGACACAUUGAUCUCCAUCGUAGCAUCGUUGUCGUCUCGCCAAUCUUAUGCUUCCACGACUAUCACUACCGUUUAGUAAUAAAGUAAAGCAUUACAUCGCGAUUGCAUUGCAUACAAUAAAGCGACAACCAUAUGGCUCCUGCCAGUUGCCGAUAACUCGGUUACAAAACAUGAUCAUCUCAUACAAUAAAAUUCAGCAUCAUGCUUUGACCAUAUCACAUCACAACAUGCCCUGCAAAAACAAGUUAGACGUCCUCUACUUUGUUGUUGCUUGUUUUACGUGGCUGCUACGGGCUUAAGUAAGAACCAAUCUCACCUACGCAUCAAAACCACAACGAUAGUUUGUCAAAUAGACUCCGUUUUAACCUUCGCAAGGACCGGGCGUAGCCAUACUUGGUUCAACUAAAGUUGGAGAGACAGUCGCCCGCAUGCCAUCUCUGUGCAAAGCACGUCGAGGGAACCGGUCUCGCGUAAGCGUACGCGUAAGGUUGGUCUGGGUCGUCUCGUCCAACAAUACCGCCGAACCAAAAUAUGACAUGCUGGUAGGCAGUAUGACUUGUAUCGUCCACAACUCACUUGUGUUCUACUCGUGCAAAUAACAUCAACAUCAAUAACCUAGGCUCUGAUACCACUGUUGGGUUACGUAGUAAUUUCAAAAAAUUUCCUACGCACACGCAAGAUCAUGUGAUGCAUAGCAACGAGGGGAGAGUAUUGUCUACGUACCCAACGCAGACCGACUGCGGAAGCGAUGACACGACGUAGAGGAGGUAGUCGUACGUCUUCUCGAUCCAACCGAUCAAGCACCGAAACUACGGUACCUCCGAGUUCGAGCACACGUUCAUCUCGAUGACGAUCCCCGGACUCCGAUCCAGCAAAGUGUCGGGGAAGAGUUUCGUCAGCACGACGGCGUGGUGACGAUCUUGAUGAACUACAGCAGCAGGGCUUCGCCUAAACUCCGCUACAGUAUUAUCGAGGAAUAUGGUGGCAGGGGGCACCGCACACGGCUAAGGAAUUGAUCACGUGGAUCAACUUGUGUCAACUUGUGUGUUUAGAGGUGCCCCUGCCUCCGUAUAUAAAGGAGGAGAGGAGGGGAGGCUGGCCGGCCAAGGGGGGGAGGCGCAGGAGAGUCCUACUCCCUCUGGGAGUAGGAUUCCCCCUCCAAUCCUAGUCCAACUAGGAUUCCUCGGAGGGGAAAAGAGGAGGAGGGGGCCGGCCACCUCUCCUAGUCCUAAUAGGACUAGGGAAAGGGGGGGGCGCGCAGCCCAACUAGGGCAGCCCCUUCUCUUUUCCACUAAGGCCCACUAUGGCCCAAAUAGCUCCCGGGGGGUUCCGGUAACCCUCCCGGUAUUCCGGUAAAAUCCCGAUUUCACCCGGAACACUUCCGAUAUCCAAAUAUAGGCUUCCAAUAUAUCAAUCUUUACGUCUCGACCAUUUAGAGACUCCUCGUCAUGUCCGUGAUCACAUUCGGGACUCCGAACAACCUUCGGUACAUCAAAAUGCAUAAACUCAUAAUAUAACUGUCAUCGUAACCUUAAGCGUGCGGACCCUACGGGUUCGAGAACAAUGUAGACAUGACCGAGACACGUCUCCGGUCAAUAACCAAUAGCGGGACCUGGAUGCCCAUAUUGGCUCCUACAUAUUCUACGAAGAUCUUUAUCGGUCAGACCGCAUAACAACAUAUGUUGUUCCCUUUGUCAUCGGUAUGUUACUUGCCCGAGAUUCGAUCGUCGGUAUCCAAUACCUAGUUCAAUCUCGUUACUGGCAAGUCUCUUUACUCGUUCCGUAAUACAUCAUUUCAGAACUAACAUAUUAGUUGUAAUGCUUGCAAGGCUUAUGUGAUGUGUAUUACCGAGAGGGCCCAGAGAUACCUCUCCGACAAUCGGAGUGACAAAUCCUAAUCUCGAAAUACGCCAACCCAACAUCGACCAUUGGAGACACCUGUAGUACUCCUUUAUAAUCACCCAGUUACGUUGUGACGUUUGGUAGUACCCAAAGUGUUCCUCCGGUAAACGGGAGUUGCAUAAUCUCAUAGUCAUAGGAACAUGUAUAAGUCAUGAAGAAAGCAAUAGCAACAUACUAAACGAUCGGGUGCUAAGCUAAUGGAAUGGGUCAUGUCAAUCAGAUCAUUCUACUAAUGAUGUGACCUUGUUAAUCAAAUAACAACUCAUUGUUCAUGGUUAGGAAACAUAACCAUCUUUGAUUAACGAGCUAGUCAAGUAGAGGCAUACUAGUGACACUUUGUUUGUCUAUGUAUUCACACAUGUAUUAUGUUUCCGGUAAAUACAAUUCUAGCAUGAAUAAUAAACAUUUAUCAUGAUUAUAAGGAAAUAAAUAAUAACUUUAUUAUUGCCUCUAGGGCAUAUUUCCUUCAGAAACAACAUAAGCUAACACGACUGAUAAGAGGAUAGGCCGCUAAAUGAGCGCACAGUUGCGUUACAAGGCGGAGAACGGCCCAAAAGCAACGAGCACGCAGGCUCGGAAGGUACUAAGACCAAAAAGGGGGGUUGUCCAUCCCUAUGCGGCACCCAGUUGAGCAGGCGACGGAGCUCGAGCCUCAGAGUAGACGGCGUGGAGAUGACAGAUAGCUUGGCGGUGGAGAUCAGAGUCCUGUUGUCUUCCCAGCGACGCCCAUUGCUGCAAGAAAACGAUGCAUUUGAAGAUAACGUCAGCGGGAUGCGAGGGAAACACCCCCUCAAUAGUAUACUUGUUACGGGUAUUCCAAAUAGCCCAUAGCAUAGCCGCCGCACAAGUCCACAUGAUCCUACGAGACGCGCCUUGAAACCCAGAUAAGGAAGAUACGAGCUCAGGUCGGGAGCGUGGAUCCCAAUCCACUCCCGCGGCCUCCCGGACCGCGCUCCAAGCGAAACGAGCCAGGGAGCAAAGGAAGAAGGUGUGGUCAGCGUCUUCCGGGACCCCACAUAGCGCACAGGGGCCGGAGGCGGGGCCGUUGCGUUUAGCGAGGUUAAUAGAGGUAGGAAGGCGAUCUUGACAAAGUUGCCAAAGGAAGACCUUAAUUUUGAGCGGGAUCAUUGCCUUCCAAAGCCCCGUGGCCGCCGCCGGGAUCUGACCGUGGCAUAGCUCUCUGUACAUGGAUUUGACAGAGAAUUUGCCAGAGCUCGCAAGUCUCCACGAGAUCAGGUCCGCGGAUUCCGACAGUCGGGCGUCCGCAAGUAGCGUCAGAAGGCGGUCCCAGUCUGCCAACUCCGGCCCGAUUAGCUCACGUCUGAAGUUAAUAUAGGGGGGGGGUGUUAAGAGCCGAGGCAACCCGUUGUUCGGGUUCGACCGCUAAGGAGUAUAGUUGUCGAAACUCCGCCCAUAAUGGGCGCUGGCCAAUCCAGUGAUCAAGCCAGAGACGCGUAGAGCGUCCGUUGUUAACCGCAAACUUUGCGCCCCUGGCAAAGAGGGGUUUAAGGGAUUGAAUGGAAUUCCAGAAAGGAGACCCACUGGGAGCCGCGUCAAAAAAAUCUCCUUGCAGGAAAUAUUUUGCCCGGAGGAGGUCGAUCCAGAGGCCAGUCUCCCCCUGAGUCAUUUUCCAGAUCCACUUGCACAUUAGUGCGAUGUUCAUCAACUUGGAGUUGAUGAUCCCGAGACCCCCCUGGGUUUUGGGACGACACACGGCUUGCCAUUUAACCAUGUGGUAUUUUCGUUUCGGUCCCGCUCCUUCCCAAAAGAAACGGGACCGCGGUGUGUCAAACUUAGAGUGUACCCCGUCCGCCAGCAAGAACAGACCCAUGGCAAACAUGGGCAAAGAUGAGAGGCCGGUGUUGGUAAGGAUUAGUCUUGCCCCUGAAGACAUAAAACGGCCCCUCCACGGGCAAACCCUAUUCGCCACCUUGGAGGAGAGGGGCUCCCAGUCAGCGAUUGUACACUUCUUUGCCGCUAUUGGGAGCCCGAGGUAAGUAAACGGGAACUGGCCUAGUUUGCAGUUAAGCAGGUUGGCGACCCGUUGACUUUCUGUCGCAUCCAUCCCUAUGGACACCACCUCACUUUUGAGGAAGUUAAUUUUUAGUCCCGACAUGAGUUCGAAGCACAACAGUAUGGCUUUGACCGAAGCGAUACUAUGUGUGUCGGGCUCGAAAAGAAGAAGGGUGUCAUCCGCGUAUUGCAAGUGAGACACUCCUCCCGGGAUUAGGUUGUCCACGACACCCCUAAUGUGGCCGGCUAGACGAGCCCUGUCUAGCAUGGCGCCUAAAGCGUCCGCCACGAAGUUAAAAAGCAACGGCGACGCUGGGUCCCCUUGACGCAGCCCGCGCUUGUUGCGGAAGAAGUUCCCUACUUCUCCGUUCACCGCGAUCGCCGUUUGGCCUCCCGAGACCAACUGCAUCAUGCGGUGAACCCAAACCGACGAGAAACCUCGGUCCAGGAGUACCUGUCGGAGGAACUCCCAGUUCACGCGGUCGUACGCCUUCUCAAAAUCGAGUUUGAGGAUAAUCGCUGGCUGUCGAGCGCGCUUAAGGGAGUGGAUAAUUUCUUGAAGGACCAGCGGCCCCUCCAAGAUGUUUCGGCCCCGAAUGAACGCGGACUGGGUUCUACUAAUAAUGCGGUGGGCUAUCGGGGACAUGCGAGUAGAACAAGCCUUAGCACAAAUUUUAAACGGGACGUUAAUUAAAGCAAUAGGUCGAAAAAGUCUAAUGUGAUCCGCACCCGGGACCUUGGGGAUCAAAGAGAGAACCCCAAAGUUCAGGCGGGAAAUGUCUACCGUACCGCGCAUAAAACCAUUGCACACGUCAAAAAUGGGGUUUUUGAGCACUUGCCAAAACCGCUUGAACAUCGCCACCGGCCACCCAUCCGGCCCCGGCGCAGUGUCCGAUUUCAUACCCAGCGUCGCCUUGUCAAUCUCCUCCGGGAGGAAGGCUAAGCUCAGGUUCUCGUUUUCCUCGUCCAUGACCCGCAACGCAGGUUCCCACACAUCCUCCCUCAGGCGAGCCCUGGGUUCCUCCCUGGAACCCAUGAGUUGGAUGUAGAACUCGUAGAUGUGCCGGAUGAUAUCCUGUUGCCGCAGUAGGAGCCCCUGCUCCGAUUGAAGACGAAGGAUAGCGCACUUACGGUGUCGGCCAUUUGCGUAUGCGUGGAAGUAUUUUGUGUUCGCGUCGCCCUUGAGCGUCCACUUUAUUCCACCGCGCCUACGCCAGUACUCUUCCUCGGCCCUGAGGAGGGAUUCGACUUGGGCCUCAAGCGCGUAGCGCUGGGCCCAGUCCUGCGCGGAAAAGAUGUGCAGAUCUGCCGCUGCGUCUAGCUGGGCUAGCUCCUCAGUCAGGCGCACCCUUAACCGCUUAUCCGCCCAACCCUGAUUAGCUCCCCACCCUUUGAGAGCCGCUCGCAUACCCGCCCCUACGGCAAUCCAGAACUCCAUGGGGCCGCGUACGCGCCCGAUGCGAGCAACGCAAUUCGCCCACUUCGAAAGGAAGGUUUGCUCGAAAUCCGGAGACUCCAGCCAUGCUGUUUCGAAGAAGAAACGCGGGCUACAUUUAAGCCUUUCCUCCCCCGAGGAAAGGAUGAGGGGGACGUGGUCCGACCCGAUCCUAGUUUCUGCGUGUAGAGAGCACAGGGGGAACAGCACCUCCCACUCCGAGGACAUAAAAACCCUGUCCAAGACCGAACGCACCGGCGUAAGCUGUUUGUUAGUCCAGGUAUAUCGAGCCCCCACGCGGGCCACUUCCCUAAGGGCCAUGGAAGCAAUAGCAUUAUUAAACAUGGCCACCCUUGACCAGUUAAUAAUACCGUUGUUCUUGUCCGCUCCCGAGCGGAUCAAGUUGAAAUCACCCCCCACCAACAGAGGAAGGUUGCUCACGCCAACAGCCCUCACCUUUGUCUGAAGCUCUUCCAAGAACUCCAGCGAGAGCGAGUGAUUGGCCGGGCCAUACACGGCAAUCACCACCCACUCCUGAAGAGUGGCGCGGUGCCGCACGUGGGCCGACGGGAAGAAGCGGCCGGCAUCCCAAGCCACCACUUCAAGGCAGACUAGGUUAACUCCUAGCAGCAAACCCCCGGAGUGUCCUACCGCAGGCACCCAGUGCCAGACAAAACGCUCCAACGGGUCAACCGCAAGCAAGUCCCGGUGGUUGAAAUCGGCCUUGAUAGUCUCUUGCAAUCCGACCACGUCGAUUUCCUCGUUCCUAAUGAACUCUCGUAACUGGGUCCGCCUCCCAGCGUGGCCGAAGCCUCGGAUAUUCCAGAAGAUGAAACGCAUUAGAUGAUGCGGUUUCGUAGACGGAUACCGCGAGCGGUAACCGCUUUGGCCACGCGCCGUGUCUUGGCAGGACGACGGUUGGGGGAGGAUGGUGCAGCCCCUGCUACUUGGUCCUCCUGUUCGGGCCGCACACCUGGCACCAGAGGAGCCCCUGCUUCCUUUGCUAUCGGCGCAGCGCGGGCCUGCGCUGCCUUAGCAAGCGCAGCCUGCGCGAUUUCCUUCGCACGAAUGAGAGACAGCACCUCUUGCGCUUCCCCCUCAUCAGCCAUCGCAACGCCACUAUCCGCUAAGAUACCCCUCAAGCACUCAUCUGGAUAAUCUUCAAAAAUCGUAAAGCGGGGCAUGGGGUUACCUUCGAUUUCGAGGUUCUUCUGCGCCUGGAGGAGCUGGGCCCGCUGGAGGGACGGCAUGUUGCCCUUGGCGCCCUUCGGACGGGAGCUCGUCCUCUCUUGAGUCGCCGGGGACGCCACCGCCUUGGACCGCCUGGCCAUGGGGAUGGGAGCCACCUUGGCCACCGCCACCCGAAGAGCGUCCGGAGGUGGGGGGGAGAUGACCGAUGGGGUGUCCCCUGCCCGCCCCCCUGGGGAGGCCAGAGCCAUCACCACCGGCCUCUGGACCGACACGCUCGCACGGACCUCGGGGGUGCCCGCUGGCGCCACCGCAGGUGGUUUGCGGCCCGCCAUCUUCUUCUGAAGCUUCAACACGCCGCCACCACUGCCGGUCACCACCUUGGGAGGGCUUGCCACAACCCCUGACGCGUCCACCAGCGCAACCACCGGGGAGACCAGCGUCGAGCGGCCCUCCGAGUCGCAGGACGCCGAGACGCCCUUGUCGAUGUCGAGGCUCAUGGUCAUGUUGGAUCCGUACUGGUUGAAACCCGUCUCGUUGCUGCCCACCACCACUUGGCACAUCUCCUGAUCCUGCGCCGCGCCCGCCGCCGGAGGCGCAGCCUGCCCAUCCUUGUCCUUGAGGCCCAGUUUGUCCCAAGUAGCCGUGUCGAUGGAGUCGUCCCCCGUGCUCAUGUCCUGGUCCUUGUCCUUGUCCUUGUCCUUGUCUUCCUGGCCCUUGUCGAGGUCAGACGGCGGAGGGGGAGGGGGGGUUGGAGCCGCGCCCUGCUGAGCGCCCGCCUCUGCCUCAAGGCGGAAGGUGUAUCCCUCGCUGUUGAACCAGAUCUGCACGUAUCCCUUGAGCUUAUCCGGGGCACGACACGCGAAACGCAUCCGCACCGGACCCAGGCCGGACAGCGACGCCAGAUCCACCUCCAUCGGGCGUCCAAUCAUCACAGUGGCGGCCAUGAGGCGGUCCACGUGGCGGUGCUUGGGUGGCACGCCCCACAGCUUGACCCAGGUGUCUGGCAUGAGCUCGGCCGUGGGCUCCUCUAGGCGCGCCUCCUUGAUGUCCGCCAUGAUGUCGUGGAGGGAGAAGUAGAGCUUGCCGCUGCGGGUUGCCAUCCUUAACAUGGCCUUGUCGGGGAAGACGACCGAGAACUGGUCAGCUCCGACGGCCGAGACUUGCCAGUCCCACUCCCCUUCGAAGAGGUGAGGGAGUUCCGCCUCCAGGAUGGGGAUGGAGAGCUUGCCCGGCGCCGCCGAAAUGAUCGCCGUAUCCGAGACGAGAGGGGCACGGACCUCCUCCCCUUCCGUGUCCACGAAAGGGAGGUAGAAGAAGCCUUCGCCCGGAAUCGCGUUGCCCAUGAUCUGCAGCGCCAGGGGCCUCCCCCUCGUGGGGCAGUAGGCAGACGCAUGUCCUUCCCCGUGGCAGACGACACACAGGGGCUUGAAGGAGCACAUGUUCUGGUAGUGCCCCACCCUGCCGCACUUGAAACACUCUGGCCCAUCGGCCUCUUCCACGGGGAUCGGGGCGUCCGCCGAUCCCUUAGAAGCCUCGGGGCCAGCCGCCAACUGCAGCGGCGCCGAGCUGUCCCCUUUAUGCUUCGACUUCUUGGCCUGCGGAACCCCGGCCCGCUCGCCGCCCAGAGGGAGCUGGGACUCCUUCCGCUUGAGCUCCUUCUUCUGCUCGAGUCCCCGCCGCCGAUACUCCUCCUUCUUCCUCUUCUUUCGCUCUCGCUCCUCCUUCUUCCGCUCCUGCUUAGCGAUCCACCAUGGAGGCGGCGGCCCCCAGCCCCCAUCCUCCGCUGGAGACGCUGGCACCUUGGUGAGCACCUUCGCCCGCAGAUCCUUUUCACGCUGUCGCUCCGCCGCCGGGAUCGGGGGUGACAUGGGGGGCUUGUCACUCCGGCGGGACCCCAUCCGCACCGCAGUGGCGUAUGAGCACGAAAGGGGAGGAGGAGGGGCGGAUCGGAGCAGACGGCGCGCCAGAUGUCCGAAGCGCCGCACCUGCGUGGGAGAGGCAGGAAACCCUAGCGAUAGAUCUAGGGUUCCUUUCGGAACCCACAUCCACCUAUUAAUAGGAGGAGACGGCCUCGGCUUCUCCGUCACGCUGGGCCCGGGCCGAGGCGCAGGCUCGCAACCGGCCACUUGGCCUGAUUGGACUAGCUGUUGGGGAACGUUGCAGAAAACAAAAAAUUUCCUACUCGUUUCACCAAGAUCAUCUAGGAGUUCAUCUAGCAACGAGUGAUUAGAUGCAUCUACAUACCUUUGUAGAUCGCGAGCGGAAGAGUUCAAAAGAACGGUGAUGAUGUAGUCGUACUCGACGUGAUCCAAAUCACCGAUGACCAGCGCCGAACGGACGGCACCUCCGCGUUCAACACACGUACGGAACAGCCACGUCUCCUCCUUCUUGAUCCAGCAAGGGAGGGAGGAGAGGUUGAGGGAGAUGGCACCAGCAGCAGCACGACGGCGUGGUGUUGAUGGAGCUGCAGUACUCCGGCAGAGCUUCGCUAAGCACUAUGGAGGUGGAGGAGGUGUUGGGGAGGGAGAAGGAGGCAACCAAAGGCCAAGGCGUUCAGGUAUGAAGUCCCUCCUCUCCCCCACUAUAUAUAGGAGGGCCAAGGGGGGGUGGCCGGCCCUAGGAGAUCCAAUCUCCUAGGGGGUGCGGCGGCCAAGGGGGGUUUCCCUCCCCCCCAAGGCACCUAGGAGGUGCCUUCCCCUCCUAGGACUCUUCCCCCUUCAAACCCUAGGCGCAUGGGCCUAUGUGGGGCUGGUGCCCUUGGCCCAUUAGGCCAAGGCGCACCCCCUACAGCCCAUGUGCCCCCCCGGGACAGGUGGACCCACCCGGUGGACCCCCGGGACCCUUCCGGUGGUCCCGGUACAAUACCGAUAACCCCUAAACUUGUCCCGAUGCCCGAAACAGGACUUCCCAUAUAUAAAUCUUUACCUCCGGACCAUUCCGGAACUCCUCGUGACGUCCGGGAUCUCAUCCGGGACUCCGAACAACAUUCGGGUUACAGCAUAUACAUAUCCCUACAACCCUAGCGUAACUGAACCUUAAGUGUGUAGACCCUACGGGUUCGGGAGACAAGCAGACAUGACCGAGACGACUCUCCGGUCAAUAACCAACAGCGGGAUCUGGAUACCCAUGUUGGCUCCCACAUGCUCCACGACGAUCUCAUCGGAUGAACCACGAUGUCGAGGAUUCUAUCAACCCCGUACGCUAUUCCCUUUGUCUAUCGAUAUGUUACUUGCCCGAGAUUCGAUCGUCGGUAUCCCAAUACCUCGUUCAAUCUCGUUACCGGCAAGUCACUUUACUCGUACCGUAAUGCAUGAUCCCGUGACCAGACACUUGGUCACUCUGAGCUCAUUAUGAUGAUGCAUUACCGAGUGGGCCCAGUGAUACCUCUCCGUCAUACGGAGUGACAAAUCCCAGUCUUGAUCCAUGUCACCCAACAGACACUUUCGGAGAUACCCGUAGUCUACCUUUAUAGUCACCCAGUUACGUUGUGACGUUUGGCAUACCCAAAGCACUCCUACGGUAUCCGGGAGUUACACGAUCUCAUGGUCUAAGGAAAAGAUACUUGACAUUGGAAAACUCUAGCAAACGAACUAUACGAUCUUGUGCUAUGUUUAGGAUUGGGUCUGGUCCAUCACAUCAUUCUCCCAAUGAUGUGAUCUCGUUAUCAAUGACAUCCAGUGUCCAUAGUCAGGAAACCAUGACUAUCUGUUGAUCAACGAGCUAGUCAACUAGAGGCUCACUAGGGACACGUUGGUGUCUGUUAUUCACACAUGUAUUACGAUUUCCGGAUAACACAAUUAUAGCAUGAAUAAAGACAAUUAUCAUGAACAAGGAAAUAUAAUAAUAAUGCUUUUAUUAUUGCCUCUAGGGCAUAUUUCCAACAGUCUCCCACUUGCACUAGAGUCAAUAAUCUAGUUACAUUGUGAUGAAUCGAACACCCAUGGAAUUCUGGUGUUGAUCAUGUUUUGCUCUAGGGAGAGGUUUAGUCAACGGAUCUGCUACAUUCAGGUCCGUAUGUACUUUACAAAUCUCUAUGUCUCCAUCUUGAACAUUUUCACGAAUGGAGUUGAAGCGACGCUUGAUGUGCCUUGUCUUCUUGUGAAACCUGGGCUCCUUGGCAAGUGCAAUAGCUCCAGUGUUGUCACAGAAGAGCUUGAUCGGCCCCGACGCAUUGGGUAUGACUCCUAGGUCGGUGAUGAACUCCUUCACCCAUAUUGCUUCAUGUGCUGCCUCUGAGGCUGCCAUGUACUCCACUUCACAUGUAGAUCCCGCCACAACGCUUUGCUUGCAACUGCACCAGCUUACUGCCCCACCAUUCAAAAUAUACACGUAUCCGGUUUGUGACUUAGAGUCAUCCAGAUCUGUGUCGAAGCUAGCGUCGACGUAACCCUUUACGACGAGCUCUUCGUCACCCCCAUAAACGAGAAACAUUUCCUUAGUCCUUUUCAGGUACUUCAGGAUAUUCUUGACCGCUGUCCAGUGUUCCUUGCCGGGAUUACUUUGGUACCUUCCUACCAAACUUACGGCAAGGUUUACAUCAGGUCUGGUACACAGCAUGGCAUACAUAAUAGAACCUAUGGCUGAGGCAUAGGGGAUGACGCUCAUCUCUUCUAUAUCUUCUGCCGUGGUCGGACAUUGAGCUGAGCUCAAUUUCAUACCUUGCAACACAGGCAAGAACCCCUUCUUGGAUUGAUCCAUAUUGAACUUCUUCAAUAUCUUAUCAAGGUAUGUGCUUUGUGAAAGACCUAUGAGGCGUCUCGAUCUAUCUCUAUAGAUUUUGAUGCCUAAUAUAUAAGCAGCUUCUCCAAGGUCCUUCAUUGAAAAACUUUUAUUCAAGUAGGCCUUGAUGCUGUCCAAGAGUUCUAUAUCAUUUCUCAUCAAAAGUAUGUCAUCUACAUAUAAUAUGAGAAAUGCUACAGAGCUCCCACUCACUUUCUUGUAAACGCAGGCUUCUCCAUAAGUCUGUGUAAACCCAAACGCUUUGAUCAUCUCAUCAAAGCGAAUGUUCCAACUCCGAGAUGCUUGCACCAGCCCAUAAAUCGAGCGUUGGAGCUUGCACACUUUGUCAGCAUUCUUAGGAUCGACAAAACCUUCCGGCUGCAUCAUAUACAAUUCUUCCUUAAGGAAACCAUUAAGGAAUGCCGUUUUGACGUCCAUUUGCCAUAUUUCGUAAUCAUAGAAUGCGGCAAUUGCUAACAUGAUUCGGACGGACUUCAGCUUCGCUACCGGUGAGAAAGUCUCAUCGUAGUCAACCCCUUGAACUUGUCGAUAACCCUUAGCGACAAGCCGAGCUUUAUAGAUGGUCACAUUACCAUCCGCGUCUGUCUUCCUCUUAAAGAUCCAUUUAUUUUCUAUGGCUCGCCGCUCAACGGGCAAGUCAGUCAAAGUCCAUACUUUCAUGGCUUCCAGCCAUUUGUCGGAAUCUGGUCCCGCCAUCGCUUCCUCAUAGUUCGAAGGUUCACCGUUGUCUAACAACAUGAUUUCCAAGACAGGGUUGCCGUACCACUCUGGUGCGGAACGUGUCCUUGUGGACCUUCGGAUUUCAGUAGGGGCUUGAUCAGAAGUAUCUUGAUCAUUAACUUCCUCUCUAGUCGGUGCAGGCACCUCAGGAACAUUUUCUUGAGUUGCGCCAUUUUCCGGUUCAAGAGGUAAUACUUCAUCAAGCUCUACUUUCCUCCCACUUACUUCUUUCGAGAGAAACUCUUUCUCCAGAAAGGACCCAUUCUUGGCAACAAAGAUCUUGCCUUCGGAUCUGAGGUAGAAGGUGUACCCAAUAGUUUCUUUUGGGUACCCUAUGAAGACGCAUUUUUCCGAUUUGGGUUCGAGCUUUUCAGGUUGAAGUUUCUUGACAUAAGCAUCGCAUCCCCAAACUUUUAGAAACGAUAGCUUAGGUUUCUUCCCAAACCAUAAUUCAUACGGUGUCGUCUCAACGGAUUUCGACGGAGCCCUAUUUAAAGUGAAUGCGGCAGUCUCUAAAGCAUAGCCCCAAAAAGAAAGCGGUAAAUCGGUAAGAGACAUCAUAGAUCGCACCAUAUCUAACAGAGUGCGAUUACGACGUUCGGACACACCAUUACGCUGAGGUGUUCCAGGCGGCGUGAGUUGUGAAACUAUUCCACAUUUUCUUAAGUGUGCCCCAAACUCGUGACUCAAGUAUUCUCCUCCACGAUCUGAUCGUAGAAACUUGAUUUUCCUGUCACGCUGAUUUUCAACCUCACUCUGAAAUUCCUUGAACUUUUCAAAGGUUUCAGACUUGUGUUUCAUUAAGUAGAUAUACCCAUACCUACUUAAAUCAUCAGUGAGAGUGAGAACAUAACGAUAGCCACCGCGAGCCUCAACACUCAUCGGACCGCACACAUCAGUAUGUAUGAUUUCCAAUAAGUCGGUUGCUCGCUCCAUUGUUCCUGAGAACGGAGUCUUGGUCAUUUUACCCAUAAGGCAUGGUUCGCACGUGUCAAAUGAUUCAUAAUCAAGAGACUCUAAAAGUCCAUCAGCAUGGAGCUUCUUCAUACGUUUGACACCUAUGUGACCAAGGCGGCAGUGCCACAAGUAUGUGGGACUAUCAUUAUCAACCUUACUUCUUUUGGUACUCACAUUAUGAACAUGUGUAGCAUCACGUUCGAGAUUCAUAAAGAAUAAACCAUUCACCAUAGGAGCAUGACCAUAAAACAUAUCUCUCAUAAAAAUGGAACAACUAUUAUUCUCAGAUUUAAAAGAGUAGCCAUCUCGAAUUAAACGAGAUCCUGAUAUAAUGUUCAUGCUCAAAGCUGGCACUAAAUAACAAUUAUUAAGGUUUAAAACUAAUCCCGAAGGGAGAUGCAGAGGUAGCGUGCCGACGGCGAUCACAUUGGCCUUGGAACCAUUCCCGACGCGCAUCGUCACCUCGUCCUUUGCCAGUUUCCGCUUAUUCCGCAGCCCCUGCUUUGAGUUACAAAUGUGAGCAACUGCACCGGUAUCAAAUACCCAGGAGCCACUACGGGCACUAGUAAGGUACACAUCAAUUACAUGUAUAUCACAUAUACCUUUUGUUUUGCCGGCCUUCUUAUCCGCUAAGUACUUAGGGCAGUUCCGCUUCCAGUGACCGCUUCCCUUGCAAUAAAAGCACUCAGUCUCGGGCUUGGGUCCAUUCUUUGCCUUCUUCCCGGCAGCUUGCUUGCCGGGCGCGGCAACCUCCUUGCCGUCCUUCUUGAAGUUCUUUUUACCCUUGCCUUUCUUGAACUUAGUGGUUUUAUUGACCAUCAACACUUGAUGUUCCUUCCUGACUUCUACCUCUGCUGAUUUCAGCAUAGAAAAUACUUCAGGAAUGGUCUUUUCCAUCCCCUGCAUAUUGAAGUUCAUCACAAAGCUCUUGUAGCUUGGUGGAAGCGACUGGAGGAUUCUGUCAAUGACCGCAUCAUCCGGGAGAUUAACUCCCAGCUGAGUCAAGCGGUUAUGCAACCCAGACAUAGUGAGUAUGUGCUCACUGACAGAACUGUUUUCCUCCAUCUUACAGCUAAAGAAUUUGUCGGAGACUUCAUAUCUCUCGACCCGGGCAUGAGCUUGGAAAACCAUUUUCAGCUCUUCGAACAUCUCAUAUGCUCUAUGUCUCUCAAAAUGCUUUUGGAGCCCCGGCUCUAGGCUGUAAAGCAUGCCGCAUUGAACGAGGGAGUAGUCAUCGAAACGUGCCUGCCAAGCGUUCAUAACAUCUUGUUCUGCAGGGAGAACGGGUGCGUCACCAAGCGGUGCUUGUAGGACAUAAUCUUUCUUGGCAGCUAUGAGGAUGAUCCUCAGGUUCCGGACCCAGUCCGUAUAGUUGCUGCCAUCGUCUUUCAGCUUGGUUUUCUCUAGGAACGCAUUGAAGUUGAGGACUACGUUGGCCAUUUAAUCUACAAGACAUAUUGUAAAAUAUUUAGACUAAGUUCAUGAUAAUUAAGUUCAACUAAUCAAAUUAUUAAUGAACUCCCACUUAGAUUAGACAUCCCUCUAGUCAUCUAAGUAUUACAUGAUCCGAGUUAAACUAGACCGUGUCCGAUCAUCACGUGAGACGGACUAGUCAACAUCGGUGAACAUCUUCAUGUUGAUCGUAUCUUCUAUACGACUCAUGCUCGACCUUUCGGUCUUCCGUGUUCCGAGGCCAUGUCUGUACAUGCUAGGCUCGUCAAGUCAACCUAAGUGUUUGCAUGUGUAAAUCUGUCUUACACCCGUUGUAUGUGAACGUCUGAAUAAAACACCCGAUCAUCACGUGGUGUUUUGAAACAGCGAACUGCCGCAACGGUGCACAGCUAGGGGGAACACUUCUUGAAUUUAUUGUGAGGGAUCAUCUUAUUUACUACCGUCGUUCUAAGUAAACAAGAUGCAAAACAUGAUAAACAUCACAUGCAAUCAAAUAAUAAACGUGACAUGAUAUGGCCAAUAUCACAUAGCUCCUUUGAUCUCCAUCUUAGGGCUCCAUGAUCAUCUUGUCACCGGCUUGACACCAUGAUCUCCAUCAUCAUGAUCUCCAUCAUCGUGUCUCCAUGAAGUUGCUCGCCAACCAUUACUUCUACUACUAUGGCUAACGCGUUUAGCAAUAAAGUAAAAUAAUUUACAUGGCGUUUCUCGAUGACACGCAGGUCAUUAAAAGAAUAAUGACAACUCCUAUGGCUCCUGCCGGUUGUCAUACUCAUCGACAUGCAAGUCGUGAAUCCUAUUACAAUAGCAUGAACAUCUCAUACAUCACAUAUAGAUCAUUCAUCAUUCAUCACAACUUUGGCCAUAUCAUAUCACAAACCACUUGCUGCAAAAACAAGUUAGACGUCCUCUAAUUGUUGUUGCAAGUUUUACGUGGCUGAAUUAGGGUUCUAGCAAGAACGUCUUCUUACCUACGUUAAAGCCACAACGUGAUUUGUCAACUUCUAUUUACCCUUCAUAAGGACCCUGUUCAUCGAUUCCGCUCCAACUAAAGUGGGAGAGACAGACACCCGCCAGCCACCUUAUGCAACUAGUGCAUGUUAGUCGGUGGAACCGGUCUCACGUAAGCGUACGUGUAAGGUUGGUCCAGGCCGCUUCAUCCCACAAUACCGCUGAAGCAAGAAAGGACUAGUAACGGCAAGAAAGUUGACAAAUCUACGCCCACAACAAAUUGUGUUCUACUCGCGCAAGAAGAACUACGCAUAGACCUAGCUCAUGAUGCCACUGUUGGGGAACGUUGCAGAAAACAAAAAUUUUCCUACUCGUUUCACCAAGAUCAUCUAGGAGUUCAUCUAGCAACGAGUGAUUAGAUGCAUCUACAUACCUUUGUAGAUCGCGAGCGGAAGAGUUCAAAAGAACGGUGAUGAUGUAGUCGUACUCGACGUGAUCCAAAUCACCGAUGACCAGCGCCGAACGGACGGCACCUCCGCGUUCAACACACGUACGGAACAGCCACGUCUCCUCCUUCUUGAUCCAGCAAGGGAGGGAGGAGAGGUUGAGGGAGAUGGCACCAGCAGCAGCACGACGGCGUGGUGUUGAUGGAGCUGCAGUACUCCGGCAGAGCUUCGCUAAGCACUAUGGAGGUGGAGGAGGUGUUGGGGAGGGAGAAGGAGGCAACCAAAGGCCAAGGCGUUCAGGUAUGAAGUCCCUCCUCUCCCCCACUAUAUAUAGGAGGGCCAAGGGGGGGUGGCCGGCCCUAGGAGAUCCAAUCUCCUAGGGGGUGCGGCGGCCAAGGGGGGUUUCCCUCCCCCCCAAGGCACCUAGGAGGUGCCUUCCCCUCCUAGGACUCUUCCCCCUUCAAACCCUAGGCGCAUGGGCCUAUGUGGGGCUGGUGCCCUUGGCCCAUUAGGCCAAGGCGCACCCCCUACAGCCCAUGUGGCCCCCCGGGACAGGUGGACCCACCCGGUGGACCCCCGGGACCCUUCCGGUGGUCCCGGUACAAUACCGAUAACCCCGAAACUUGUCCCGAUGCCCGAAACAGGACUUCCCAUAUAUAAAUCUUUACCUCCGGACCAUUCCGGAACUCCUCGUGACGUCCGGGAUCUCAUCCGGGACUCCGAACAACAUUCGGGUUACAGCAUAUACAUAUCCCUACAACCCUAGCGUAACUGAACCUUAAGUGUGUAGACCCUACGGGUUCGGGAGACAAGCAGACAUGACCGAGACGACUCUCCGGUCAAUAACCAACAGAGGGAUCUGGAUACCCAUGUUGGCUCCCACAUGCUCCACGACGAUCUCAUCGGAUGAACCACGAUGUCGAGGAUUCUAUCAACCCCGUACGCUAUUCCCUUUGUCUAUCGAUAUGUUACUUGCCCGAGAUUCGAUCGUCGGUAUCCCAAUACCUCGUUCAAUCUCGUUACCGGCAAGUCACUUUACUCGUACCGUAAUGCAUGAUCCCGUGACCAGACACUUGGUCACUCUGAGCUCAUUAUGAUGAUGCAUUACCGAGUGGGCCCAGUGAUACCUCUCCGUCAUACGGAGUGACAAAUCCCAGUCUUGAUCCAUGUCACCCAACAGACACUUUCGGAGAUACCCGUAGUCUACCUUUAUAGUCACCCAGUUACGUUGUGACGUUUGGCAUACCCAAAGCACUCCUACGGUAUCCGGGAGUUACACGAUCUCAUGGUCUAAGGAAAAGAUACUUGACAUUGGAAAACUCUAGCAAACGAACUAUACGAUCUUGUGUUAUGUUUAGGAUUGGGUCUUGUCCAUCACAUCAUUCUCCCAAUGAUGUGAUCUCGUUAUCAAUGACAUCCAGUGUCCAUAGUCAGGAAACCAUGACCAUCUGUUGAUCAACGAGCUAGUCAACUAGAGGCUCACUAGGGACAUGUCGGUGUCUGUUAUUCACACAUGUAUUACGAUUUCCGGAUAACACAAUUAUAGCAUGAAUAAAGACAAUUAUCAUGAACAAGGAAAUAUAAUAAUAAUGCUUUUAUUAUUGCCUCUAGGGCAUAUUUCCAACACUAGCCCCGACUCGGUGGGUAGCCCCUGCCCCCCUCCUGGCCCAGUGACGGUGGAGAGCGACAUUGAGCCCACCGGCCCCGCAGGCGCUGAAGCCUGCUGGCCCAACGCAGGGUCCCCCAGCCCACCCCAUGGCAGGCUGGGCCAGUCAUUUGGCCCAACACCGGAACAGGCCCAGCCGUCGGUGCCCCGGAAACCCUAGCCAGGUUCCGUGCAGCCCCUGCCCGGCCAGCCCCGCCGCCGCCGUCGCCAGCCCCGGCCGGCUCCGGCAGGCACGAAAGGGCCCGAGGGGGCUCCGCCAGCACCAGAUCUCGGCGGACCGCCACCGGAAUGGCGCACGAGCGGCCUUCUGGGCCCGCAUCCACCCCCUUUGGCGGGCACCAGAUCCGCGCCGCCAGGCGGCGGCCUCCCUUCCCUCCGGGAGCAAAAGCACGCCGCCGACCAGCCACGAAGGAGCCCCCAAGCUCCUCCGCACGGGCGAUGAAAUCGCCCACCGAGCACCCAUCCUUGGGCCUCGGCGAACCACCGGAACUACCUAAACUCACCUGAGAACCUACCUCGUCGGCGUCGAUGUCGGAGUCAAACCCCUCUAGCGCCCAGAACCGGCUGCCGGAGAAGGACGGAGCAGGGGGCCGCCCCUCUGGCAGCGCGCCCCUCCGCGGCCGCCCCGCGGCAGGCCGCACCACCGUCCAGCCGGCCACCUCCGCCGCGGCGCUCGCUGCGUCUCCCUUCGCCUCGCGCGUCCCAGACGCGUCGCCCUCCGCAUCACGCGUCCCAGACAUCAAUCCCAACAUUAGCGCCUCUUCCUAUCAAUCAAAUGUUUAGUUGCAGAUUAUCUCAUCUCAAUGCAAACAGGGGAGACAUGAAAAGCUCCUCUGCCAUCGACAGAUGCAAUGCGAUAGAAUAGAAUAGAAUAAUUUAUUAGGUCUUUGCAUAUUUGGAAUAAAACUAGCAUGAGAAAAUCUACUAAAAUUAGUCCACCCAAGAAUGAAAAUAAAUAUGAAACGGUAUGAAAUAGUCCAAAGUGUGGCUUCACUUAAUAAAUAAUGAAAUGUCUCUUACCAAAACAUAUUUAGAAAAAGUUUUUUUAUUUUUUUAGCGACCAUUUUUCCAAGUUCCUGACAUCUAAGUAAAGAUUUUUCAUGCAUAAGACAAACUAUGACAAGCUAAAGUAAUUAGUCCAACAAAAUGACAGUACACGCAAUAAUAAUAUAAAUGAAUUUUGUUUGUCUGUCCGUCCAAAUAUAAAAUCGUGCAUCUCACCUGUGGCAUGCAUAGACAAUAGCACAGUUGGCUAGCUUGCUCGUGCUCCAUCCUGUAGUCGCAGGUUCCAAAGCUCCACGCUACAGCAGUCAUUUAUUUUCAGCCACCCACUGACAGAUGGGCCCGCUCGGAGAGAGAGAGAGAGAGUUGCUCUUGCUAUACACGAUAAAUACAGGGCGACGAAGCUCAGGACUGCUCUCCAAGUUCGAGGACUGUAUACAUCUGGUAUUUUCAAGUACGAGAAUCGCACUGAAGCACUUUCUGAGUAUGAGGACCAUUUUGGACCUAACCAGCAAGUAUAAGGAUGAUAGGUGCAAUUAUCUCUGACCGAAAAUACAAUGGGUCUCGGGUCCCAUUGCACGUAAAUUGAAAAAAAGUGUUUAACCCUAAAAAAAGUUUUAAAAAUUCAAAAAGAGUCAAAAUUUUCUUUCUUUCUUGAAUUCAAACAUGAUCAAGUAGUACACUCGUGUAAAAAGUUUCGUGAAGGAAUAGAUGCAACCGACCCCGCAAAAAGGAUGCAGAUGCAACCGACCCUUAAAAAAAGAUGCAACCGACCCCAAGGUCAAUUUUUUUUGAGAUUACAAGAAAUGUGAACUGUAACCUUUACAUAGUGUCGAUUUUGUUUUUUCCGCCUAAAAUACCACGCGAGUCAUUCCUCCGCGUAACUUUUCACACGAGUAUUACGCUAGACCAUGUUUAUUACAAAAAUGUUUUAGAAAUGUUCAAAUUUUUUAUUUUUCUAAAAUAAGUUUUUCAUUUCAUGUGCAUUGCCAUCCAUGUUCUAAAGAUCCGCGUCAAAUCAGAAGAACCCUCAAAUAUGUUGGGAUUACCUACUGCUAGUUGAGGAAGAGUAGCACCAACAUAAGAAGGUGGGUUGUUCUACUACUCAUUCUAGAAUGAGAGAAGAGAGAAACAACACGCGCUCACUCACUCAAUCACACCACACGCCACACCACACAAUGUGCACGUCGCAUUUGGUGAAUCGUGUUUGAGUUCGGGCUAAUGUUAUGUGCCUUGUUGGGAGAACUUCUUUUGCUUGGCAGUGCACUACAUAGCUCUAAGUGUACAUGCCAAUAUUCAAGUUCGUUGUGGACACAUUUUAUACUUUCAGAAAGUUCUUUCACCAUGUGUUAGUUGCAUCUAUUCAGCUUCACAUUUGUCCUCUCUAUAUAGAUAAGAUAGACAUGAGAGAGGCCGCACACAGAACACGCAUGCAUGCUCACACACACACAUACACACAUGCUGAGUUCCUGGUGUUGAAAUGCCUCUCCGGCAACCCCAUCCCGGUAUUUGCGUGCACAAUCUUCCAGAAGAGCAGGCCUUUGAAACCGCGUCCCUUGAGAACAUGUACCAGGUAAGAGACGAUAAGAUUUUUGGGGAACGUCUCAAGGCGACUCCUCACUCAAGUUCGACUAGAUACUCUACAUCGGUCCGCCUACUUCCUUCAUGCCAGUGACUCUUCGUCUGCACCACCAUGGCUGAUGAAGUUGUUGCAUCAGAUUUUAUGGAGCCCUCAUAUGCCAUGAACAUUUCUUUUGGUGACAUGCACCUUUGAUCUAUAUGUGUAUGUGUGCUUGAUAUUUCUUAGUCUAUUGUAUACGAUUUGCCAUGUCAAUAACCUUGUGACGAUGCUAAUCUAAAUUAGGCUUACCAAAUACUGUCUCAUCUCCUAACACAAUACGUCUUCCAAGGUGGCCACACCCGCACAUUGUUGUCUUACAUGACCAAUGGCAAAGGGCCUUCUCCUUGAACCAAACAUAUUUCCCUCUUUUAGAGACGAGUAGCUCCAGAAGAUUUACAAAUUUAAAAACAUGCCUCCUCAAUCAUAUCAAGUACCAUAUUAUUAUUAUUUUGCAUAUUAUAAUUAGUGUUCACUAUUAUGGCUAAUAAGAAUAGUCUCAAUGCCAUAUACAAUAAGAAUUCACACUCAAGAAUGGCAUCUACCAUCUCGUCAGCAUCGGAGGCAUGAAAAAGAUGGCACAUGAGCACGAGGAGGAAAGGGAAGCUACACGAAGGGGCUCUCUCUGGGUCAGAGGAGCCGUGGGAGGCGGUGCCGACGACCAUAGGACCUCCUCGCCGACUAACCUAGCCAUGACUAGGGCCCUGUUUGUUUGGGCUUUUGCUUUUGCUUUUGCAGCUUUUCCAUUUUGACCAAAACGCCAUAAAAGCUCCUAAACAGGGCCUAGGGUUCACCACGGGGCAUGUUUGGAGGCAGAAGUCAACAUGAUGGCAUGGAGUCGUAGUGGUGGGUCCCAUUCGAUAGUUGGCGGUGCUCAUUAAUAGUUUGAAAGUGCAUCCCGAGAUACCCUAUUGGUUUCGGUGAUUUAUGACAAAACCAUUAUAGAGGACUAAUGAUUUCAAUAAGCUUGUUUUAGAGACUAUGAUUAAUUUUCUUAUGCCGCCCCCAGGCUAUAGUUGGAACAUCAAUGAUAAUGGACGUGGAGUAUUUGCACCCGAGUUCAAAUGCUCCUGGCACUAGUGGAAAAAAGCCUACCUAUGGCGUGGCAAAAAGUGCCUUACUAGCGUAGAGGCCCAACGCCAUCAAUAUGGCGCCAGUGAAAACAGUUUAGUGGUGGCGUUGGCAGACACGUCAGCGGUAAUUCUAGUACUGAUGGCGUGCCACCUGGCUAACGCUAGCAAUAUAUUGUGUUAUCUAUGGUGUUUAUUGUGAGGCAAUGCUAGCAAUUUGUAUUUUUGAGCAAUAAAAAAUAUACCCAGCGAUUAUGUCCAGCCAUUUAAACUUCUAGUGGUAAGUCUCAAAUCCACAAAAUAUACCCAGCUAUUACUACAGUUUUCAGUAACUAGCUUGCUACUACGUACAAGCAAAAGUUAUCCGAUGGCUACCUUUAUACAAGAAAAAGGUAUCGCCAUCGAUCUCACGCAACUUGUUAUCCGCGCGCUAACUAUUUACGAUGAAGAAUGAUCCUCAUCUCACGCAACUUGUUCCUGCUGCUCUCUCCCUCCCGUCUGAAAUAGACUUUGCGGGUCUUCAGCUCCACCCUCUCGGCCUCCAGGAGCCGUAUCUCCUUCUUCAUAGACUCGAUCUCGGUGACUAGUAGCUGCUUCUAGUCGAUGAGCUUCAAUUUCUUAUCACAGAGAUCGGAGAUCUCAUCGAUCAUAUCGCCCUUCUCUUUCUUCGGGGAGUCAAUCAACUCGUUAAGUGCCUUCAUUGUACUCUCCUUUGACGCGACAAGCUCACUGCUGAGCAUGUCCAUGUCACGUACCGGUAGCUGCUGCUAGACCGGUUCUAGAGAUGAGUCUCGUGCAUACGCCUAGCAAGUAAAAUAUUUGAAAUCAUCAAUAAAGAAUGGUUAGAUGAUAUAUGUAUAUAUGCAUGUGUUUGCAAUGCUAUGGAUUUUUUUAUAAAUCUUACCUGGUUGGUGCUCGUUUCGCCUUUGUCAACUUCAUCAUAGGCCGCGAAGUUGCACGAUGACUGGUAGUGACUGUUCCAGCUACUCAUGGCUGGAACUUCAAAAUAAUGACAAAUAUAGGUUAUUAUGACAAGAACCAAACACACAUGUCCUUAGUUCUGACAAGAACCAAAUACACAUGUCAAACAAGAUUAACAAGUAAGUUACAAGCAAGUUGCAUCCAAUUUGAUUUGUAAGUUGAUAAUAUAUAUUGCCUUGUUGAUCAAACAAGAAUAACAAGUAAGUUGAUAAUAAUGCCAAUCAAAGUAUGGCAAGUAUGGCAUGUGAUCUAAUGCCAAUCAUAACAAUAAUAACAAGUAAGUUGAUAAUAAUGCCAAUUAAAGUAUGGCAAGUGAUCUAAUACACUUACACAAAUUCUACAACCUAACUGAUCUAUAUAGAGGUAUGUCAACUUGUCAAGUAAACAAAGGAAAUUAUGUUAUUUUAUGGGAGUAAACAAUGAAACCCUGAUCUAAACAUCCACAUGAUGAUCAUUGAUGCAAAAUGCAGAUACAAAAUGCCACUGCCACUGUCACUGUCAUAUGUUCAUUCAUGUUACCAUACAACUAAAAUGCCUCGAUAAUGAUACCACCUGCUAUCUUCAUUUAUCCUUAGUUCUGUUUCAUAGAACUAAAAAUGCAUACAAGAUGUCCAUGGAUGCUACUUAUCACUUCCAUUUAGAGGCUUCCAUGUUGCUUCAUAUCUUCAGACUUACUUAGCACUUCCAUUUAGAGGCAUAGUGUUCAUUUUAUGAAUCUUGCAUGAUAGUAUUGGACUGGGGAUUGUUUACUAUACAAUAAUAAAUGUACAGAGCUUCAGUCAAAGCAUCGACCACUCAGUUUGAUGCGGAUGAAUUUGUAUCGCAGCUUCUGUUGAAGAUACAACAAGAAUUUUGAUUUGGCGAAGAUGGAGGCGAUGAACUCACCAAGGGACGAAGAUGGAGGCGAUAAACCGUCAUCUCUUCCAUCGCCGCCGUCUCUUCUGCCGCCGCUGCCAUCGUCGAAGAACCCCUAGCUCAAGAUGAAAUGAACUCCAAUCAAAUUGGAGGGCAACGAGCGACGGGAAAGGGAGAGGGGGGGNNNNNNNNNNNNNNNNNNNNNNNNNNNNNNNNNNNNNNNNNNNNNNNNNNNNNNNNNNNNNNNNNNNNNNNNNNNNNNNNNNNNNNNNNNNNNNNNNNNNNNNNNNNNNNNNNNNNNNNNNNNNNNNNNNNNNNNNNNNNNNNNNNNNNNNNNNNNNNNNNNNNNNNNNNNNNNNNNNNNNNNNNNNNNNNNNNNNNNNNNNNNNNNNNNNNNNNNNNNNNNNNNNNNNNNNNNNNNNNNNNNNNNNNNNNNNNNNNNNNNNNNNNNNNNNNNNNNNNNNNNNNNNNNNNNNNNNNNNNNNNNNNNNNNNNNNNNNNNNNNNNNNNNNNNNNNNNNNNNNNNNNNNNNNNNNNNNNNNNNNNNNNNNNCACCACAUAAAAAACUAAAAAUUAAAAAAAUGUAAGUGUCAAACCACAUGUACACAUAUUUGAAGGCUCAAAACUAUAUAUUUCAAGUCUUAAACUAAAAAGGAAAAAAGUAAAUUUAAAGUCUCAAAGUACAUAUUUUAAAAAUGUCAUUAUUUCCAUUUAAAAAUAAUUUUUUUAAUAAAAGUUAACUAUAAUAUACAAAAAAGAUCACCACAUAAAAAACUAAAAAGAAAAAAAUGUAAGUAUCAAACCACAUAUUUGAAGGUAACUAUAAAUUUCAAGUCUUAAACUAAAAAGGAAAAAAAAGUAAAUUUAAAGUCUCAAAGUACAUAUUUAAAAAAUGUCAUUAUUUCUAUUUAAAAUAAAAUAUAAGAAUGUUUUGGCAUUGAAAAAAAUAACAAUACUGGCGUUGGAAACAACAACACGACAUAACUAUAUAUAAUAGUACUAGCGUUACGUGCUAUUCCACGACGACACUGUAUUACGUCUAGUACAAAUUGUUGAUCCCAUAAACUUCUGACGCUGUCCUGUCUUCCAAUGCCACAACUAUGCCCCUACUAAUGUCAUACCAAAUAAGCCAACGUCACAACUAUUUAAAAUAAAUAGUGCUGGUGUUGGUUGUAAAUGGCGUGCCACCAACGAAAGUUGUGGCUAACACUUUUUCCACUAGUGCGGUGAACAGUAAAAUCGAGGAUAAAACAAAUUCAAAAGUUCCUGUUUUUUUGGUAACCUUUGACAAAUUUUCUAUGUGCUUGCAAAAAUUUACCAUGAAUGAAAAUUUCUGUAAGUCAUGGCAAGAAAAACUAAAUCGAUACUUAAAAAAUGCUAUCUUUUUAAGCAUUUUAGAGUGCUGGUUUUUGUUUUGGCCAUGACUUCCACGAAUGUCAUUUCGUGAUGAACAUUUUCAAGCAUAGAAAACUUUUGUCAAAGGUUACAAAAAAAAUAGAAUCUUUUGAUUUUUUUUAAUUUUCUUUUAAGUUUACUAUUCACCCGAGCUUAUUUGAGCUCGGGAGCAGAAGAACACUUUUAGUGUUUUCUUUUUAGGGGUAACACUUUUAGUGUUACUGUUACAGUUUUCGUUCAAACAUGUUACAGCUACUACAUUGCCACCUCAAAAGAAGUUAAUAGUUCCUAGUUAGUAGCCACACACAUGGAGCGACUCACGCAGCUCCAACCAAUUAAAGUUUCGUGAAUCUUCCAUCGCUAUUCAUUUGGCCUCGCUCGACGUCACGCGGCUCUCGUGACCACUUAUGUCCCCGAUGGAUGUCGCCGGCCACACGCCCCUCGACGACGACGAGAUGAGCAGCGUGUGAUCCUCGUCGCCCCGCCCAUCCAAGCGAAGAUAAGAGGCCCACUCCCUUCCCUCCACAUGGCACCCACCCCGAAUCCCUUACUUAUUCCCGCCCCCCUCACUCCUCCAUCCCCUAGCUCGCUCGCCUAUCCUCUCCAGCUCCCCAGCCACACAGAGAAAGAGCGUCUAAGCUCCAGCUAGCUUGCAAUGGCCGCCGCACUGAGCCUCCGCGCGCCCUUCUCCCUGCGCGCCGUCGCGCCACCGGCGCCCCGCGUGGCCCUCGCGCCCGCGGCCCUCAGCCUCGCCGCCGCCAAGCAGGUGCGGGGAGCCAGGCUCCGCGCGCAGGCGACGUACAAGGUGAAGCUGGUGACGCCCGAGGGCGAGGUGGAGCUGGAGGUCCCCGACGACGUCUACAUCCUCGACCAGGCCGAGGAGGAGGGGAUCGACCUGCCCUACUCUUGCCGCGCCGGCUCCUGCUCCUCCUGCGCCGGCAAGUUGGUGUCCGGCGAGAUCGACCAGUCCGACCAGAGCUUCCUCGACGACGACCAGAUGGAGGCAGGGUGGGUGCUCACCUGCCACGCCUACCCCAAGUCCGACAUCGUCAUCGAGACCCACAAGGAGGAGGAGCUCACCGCAUAAGCUGCCAUACCUAUCUCUCUUUGCAAGAGGAUCGAGCUGAUAUCAUAUUAUCUCCUACAGUAUCAUGCAUGCAUGGACAUCGCCAGAUCGAUACACCGAUUGUUUUGUGCUCGAAUGAAUUGCUCGAUGCAUGGUUUGCUCAAGUAAUAUUGUCUUCGAAUUACUACCUUUUUGUACCGUAAGAUAUACGUACUACUGUCGUAAUACUAGCGUGUACCUUGUACGUAACUCGACGUACUGAAAUGAAUCCUGAUGGCUGAGGCGUCUCUCUGAUUAAUAGUAAUAUCUUCUUUUUAAUUGAGAGACGGCUGAAUUACUUGAUGAACAUCUUACCUGGGACUUUCUUCUAUCCACAUAAUAGGUGCAUGCUACGACUUGUUUCAAUAUGAGUUGCACAAUU
RNAcentral lists this long non-coding RNA (43904 nucleotides) under Triticum aestivum (bread wheat). RNAcentral's name for it is "long non-coding RNA (TAES_LNC014901)". The record is from RNAcentral. Lineage: Eukaryota; Viridiplantae; Streptophyta; Magnoliopsida; Poales; Poaceae.